CUGAGGCCGACGCGCGGAAGCGCAGGAAGGGCCCGAUGUACAAGCUCAAGGCGGCGAUCCAGGGCCUCGCGGGAUCUCGCUCCGCCGCCGCGGAGGUGUAUGGGGGAGAGUACCAGUUCCAGCGCGCCGUCGAGAAUUUGUGCGAGCCAAGGUUCCCCAAUCCACUCACGCGCGCGCAUCGCUGUGGUUUCCUGUUUUGCUUUCCACCCUCGCGCGCUCUUCUUCUUCAUGGAGCCAUGGCAGGAAGCGGCAACAGGAGAUUUGGCCGGGAUAUGGUGUCUAGCAGCACACAUUUCUCCCAAUGGCAGAUGGUCUGGGUUGGAGACCACGUUCCUGGCGGCAGAGUCGAUCUGCAAUGUGGAGGUCCAAUCUGGCCACCGAUGUCAGCUCGCUCCGGAGCCAAUUCCGAUUCCCUAGCAGGGACGACGUUCAGAUGCAGCUUCAGAUGCAGCGACGACCUCUCUCUCCAUCCAUGGAUCUCUAGGCAACUGCGAACAAGGGAACCAGGCAUCAAAAUGAAGGGAACCAGGAAUCGAAACGGCCCCGAGAAUCCCAAAGCACGAGAAGGGGAACAAGGGAA
RNAcentral lists this unclassified non-coding RNA (580 nucleotides) under Zea mays. Its description in RNAcentral is "misc RNA Zm00001eb124090". Lineage: Eukaryota; Viridiplantae; Streptophyta; Magnoliopsida; Poales; Poaceae. The record is from RNAcentral.